Molecule: ribosomal RNA, 914 nt
Filed under: uncultured Pseudomonas sp.
Lineage: Bacteria; Pseudomonadati; Pseudomonadota; Gammaproteobacteria; Pseudomonadales; Pseudomonadaceae
Description: bacterial SSU rRNA
Rfam family: Bacterial small subunit ribosomal RNA
Source: RNAcentral
AGAGUUUGAUCUUGGCUCAGAAUGAACGCUGGCGGCAGGCCUAACACAUGCAAGUCGAGCGGAUGACGGGAGCUUGCUCCUUGAUUCAGCGGCGGACGGGUGAGUAAUGCCUAGGAAUCUGCCUGGUAGUGGGGGACAACGUUUCGAAAGGAGCGCUAAUACCGCAUACGUCCUACGGGAGAAAGCAGGGGACCUUCGGGCCUUGCGCUAUCAGAUGAGCCUAGGUCGGAUUAGCUAGUUGGUGAGGUAAUGGCUCACCAAGGCGACGAUCCGUAACUGGUCUGAGAGGAUGAUCAGUCACACUGGAACUGAGACACGGUCCAGACUCCUACGGGAGGCAGCAGUGGGGAAUAUUGGACAAUGGGCGAAAGCCUGAUCCAGCCAUGCCGCGUGUGUGAAGAAGGUCUUCGGAUUGUAAAGCACUUUAAGUUGGGAGGAAGGGCAUUAACCUAAUACGUUAGUGUUUUGACGUUACCGACAGAAUAAGCACCGGCUAACUCUGUGCCAGCAGCCGCGGUAAUACAGAGGGUGCAAGCGUUAAUCGGAAUUACUGGGCGUAAAGCGCGCGUAGGUGGUUUGUUAAGUUGGAUGUGAAAGCCCCGGGCUCAACCUGGGAACUGCAUCCAAAACUGGCAAGCUAGAGUACGGUAGAGGGUGGUGGAAUUUCCUGUGUAGCGGUGAAAUGCGUAGAUAUAGGAAGGAACACCAGUGGCGAAGGCGACCACCUGGACUGAUACUGACACUGAGGUGCGAAAGCGUGGGGAGCAAACAGGAUUAGAUACCCUGGUAGUCCACGCCGUAAACGAUGUCAACUAGCCGUUGGAAUCCUUGAGAUUUUAGUGGCGCAGCUAACGCAUUAAGUUGACCGCCUGGGGAGUACGGCCGCAAGGUUAAAACUAAAAAGAAUUGACGGA